This 76-nucleotide transfer RNA is filed under the name bacterium. RNAcentral's name for it is "tRNA-Lys". It matches the Rfam family "tRNA". From Rfam's summary of the family: Transfer RNA (tRNA) molecules are approximately 80 nucleotides in length. Their secondary structure includes four short double-helical elements and three loops (D, anti-codon, and T loops). The record is from RNAcentral.
GGGUUGAUAGCUCAGCUGGUAGAGCAACGGCCUUUUAAGCCGCUGGUCCUGGGUUCGAAUCCCAGUCGACCCACCA